GUGCCACCCAGUCUGUGAAGCCCUUUCUAAUUUCCUCUGGGCAGAAUUUUUCUUUAGGCGAUCAUAGCACUUUGUAUUGACCUUUCUUAUGUCAAAAUUUUUGGCUUGUUUUAUAGUUUGGUACAGGUCUGUCUUAAAAGACUAUGACUCCCUUGUAUAGAACAAAUGCUUGAAAAUUUUUAAUAAAGUCAACACAUUGAAGAAAGUGUCAAUAAAAGGCUGUUUUGGUAAAUAUAAACAAGAAGCAAACAGAAAAAUACAAUUUUUGUUGCCUAUACUGCACAAUCUUAAAACAGCUACUGGCACAAUAUCUCUUCUUUCUAUAAAUAGCUGAAUUAUUAUUAAGUAUAAUUAUAAAGCUAAACACUGGGUGCUUAAUACAUACUUCCUGCAAAUCAGUGUGAUGAAAUGGAAAAAGCCUUCACUUGC
Molecule: long non-coding RNA, 429 nt
Filed under: Bos taurus (domestic cattle)
Lineage: Eukaryota; Metazoa; Chordata; Mammalia; Artiodactyla; Bovidae
Description: long non-coding RNA NONBTAT018820
Source: RNAcentral